AAACGAUCAAUCAAAACAAUAGUUAUACACACAAUUCACUGUACUAGGAAUUUAGAGAGAGAGAGAGAGAGAGAGAGAGAGACAGCGAAACCAAGAAAAGUUCACACACAAUAUUGGAGUUGCACAGAUCCCAGUAUCUCUCUGUAUUUCUCAAUUUUCUCUCCAAGAACUCCUCCGAGAUAGAGGAUUUAGGAUUCCCUGUUUUUUGGGCCCCUAUACAUAGCAUUGCGUAAAGAGAAAUCUUUAUCUUUUUUCUAUUUUCAAGAAUUGUGGAUAUGCAUGUCUAUGUAUAGUAGAAUUGCAUGAAGCGGACAAUUUUUUUUUUUUUUUUUAAUCUGGUUAAAGCGGAUUUUGGGUCUUGCUACGAUAAUCAAUCAGGAUUAUCUGUUGACUUUGCCCUUUAUUAUUUUUUGUACUUUUGAAAUUUUAAGUCCAAGCUGAAUUUUACGAUUUUUGAAUAUGAGUAUGUGAUUUUUUGGGUUGUGCUUAUCUUUCACUUUUUAUUUUUGUUCGCCGUUUAGGGGUGGUUAUUUAAUGUGAUUUUUUUCUUAAUUUUAAAUUUGGUAUUCGGUGCUCAUUAACUGUAUUCCAACUUGAUUAUAUGGAAAAAGGUUGAUUAUUCAAUGAAUGGCAUUAAUGAAAAGUUGGUUUUCAUUUUCUGGUGAAAGUGAGAGUAUAUUCUUACCCAAUACUUUUUUUUAAUUAUUAUUAUUUUACAGUUACUUGCUGCGAGUUUAGUGAAAUUUGAGAUAUUUUGAGCUUUGAUUCUCUUCUAUACAAUAUUGGCGUGAAUUUUGAGUCUCUGCAUCUUUGAAGAAGUCCUUGAUUGAAAAUGAGAACUGUUAUUCAG
This 850-nucleotide long non-coding RNA is filed under the name Olea europaea subsp. europaea. The record is from RNAcentral. Lineage: Eukaryota; Viridiplantae; Streptophyta; Magnoliopsida; Lamiales; Oleaceae.